This is a non-coding RNA of Anas platyrhynchos (mallard), 6283 nucleotides long. The record is from RefSeq and is a predicted model, not a curated record. NCBI's taxonomy places the organism in Eukaryota, Metazoa, Chordata, Aves, Anseriformes, Anatidae.
CCCUUCGGCCACCUCUCCCUAAUUAUUUGUCAGCAGAAAGCUCAAAAUGUAUUUUUUCUUCAUUUAUUUAUUUUUUUUUAAUUUAUUUUUCCCAGAAGGCUGUGUUGUGUCCCGUGGUGGCCUGUUCAUAUGCUGAGUUGGAGCUCUGUUUGGCACCGUCCUUUGGUCUAAUCACAUUUUGCUGCAAUACCAGGUUUGUAGUGGCAAAUCUUCCUACCGAGGACCAUGUCUCUGCUCCACUGUCGUUGCUGUGUCCUGCGUGUCUGUGCUGGGGCAUGCCGCCUGCUUUUUGGGUGAAUUGUACUUUGUUUUGGGAGGUUUUGCGGAGCGGUGCCUUCGCAGGCUCGCCUCCCUCUGUAUCCUCUGUGCUGGAUGAGUUUGCAUUGUGUGGUGUUUUCCUCUUCAUUUAUUGCAAACAAAUCUGGUCUCUGCCAUUUGUUUACUCUUAUACUCUGUCUUUAUGCCUUGGUAUGCAUUUUUAAUUAGAUGCGCUUCAGUUCUUUCGCUGCUUGUUAACACUUUCGGAUGGGAAGUAUGGUCCCCACCAGCCCUGCAAGCAUUCUCUCUGCUUAGGAAAUGCAGAUUUGUUUCUCCUACCCCGAUAAUUGUCUGGUACAGAGACUUGGUCCCCAGCCCACCUACCUGCUGGGUACAGGCAUUCCUGUGGCGGACCCUUAAGGCCAUUCCCCUACACAGCCAGGGCAAUCUGAGUGCACUUUACUCUGAAAUACUCUGCAUACAGAGAACUAGUGUUUUGGCUAUUUGUCUGGGCUGCUUCCGGGCCUCAGCAGCUCCAGCUCGGAUGCCUGACAUGGAGAAGUCCUGGACAAAGGCUGCAGUGUGCACAGAUCAACUGCGUGCGUUGUCCAAAGCCCCUCUGCAGACAGAGAUCAGGAAUGUGCUGGGCUUGUGAAGGCAUUGGCCACCCAUCCGGUGAAUGGUGGAUGGAUGAGCCUGGAGAGGGAUCCUGAAGCCCUAAGCACAUGACAGCUUUCAUAAAAAGACAUCUUUCCUGAGUGCCACUAUUGUUACAGCAUCAAAUUACUCUGUUAUAUUUUUUCUUUUUCUUCUUUUUUUCCUUUUUUUUUUUUUUUUUAAUAGUGUGAGCCCAUUAGCACUUGUGCUGUUUUCUUCUGCCUCCAUAUCUGACUCACGCCACAGGCAAAAGACUUCAUCCUUGCUAGCUUCUCUCUAUACCACCAGCUUUCUGGAGAUGGUGUGGGCACUUGGAUGGUAAAACUUGACCCCACUCCACCCUUUCCUUCCAGUUUGCCUGCCCCACUGAAGCACUCACUCACUCUCCUGUUUUGUUAGAGUGUGUGAGUUCUCCAGGAUUUAAGCCCUGCGAGGGACUGAAGGACUGAAAAGAGGCAAAAAUGUCUCUUCCCUUCUCAGACAGUCUUCCCUGACCCCGUUCUUUGGCUGGGGGCAAGGUUGCCAAAGGUCAAUAUCCACUUCAGUGUGUGGAGAGAUCGAUAUCUGCUGAAGCCGGUGCCUAGGCUUGCUUCCUCUCCCUCGCCAGCACUAUAUUUCACAGAGAGGAGCCAAGAAAUGUUUCUCCUCCCUUCCAAGAAAAAGGGGAAGAAAAAGAAAGGAAAAAAAAAAAAAAAAGAAAAAAGAAAGAAGAAGAAGAAGAAAAAAAGCCUUGUCUCCACACUUACUCCCACCAGGAGGGUAUUGUGUUUGGCUUCUGCUCUGCUUUUUGUUAUCCAUUUGCAUGGCAUGAUGUUUGCUUUGGCUGGCGGGGCAGUGGCCGGCUCCUUGGCCAGAGGAAGGGUCCUGCUGUUACCCAGUGGUGCACGGAGCAGGGAUGCUCAGCCCCUGGUCCUGGGUGGUUUUGGGGUGCUGGGAUGUGGAGGGUGUCCCAGAUGGCAGGGUUUCAGGGUGGCAGCACGCUGGUGGUGGGAGCAAAGAGCUCAGUGCCGAGCCUGCAAAAAAGAAGUCAUUCUAUGGAGCAGCAUCGUGUUGGCAGGGAGAUGAAGUGCACGGGCUAAUAGGUCUUUUCCACUUUAAUUUCUAUUCGAAAAUGACUCUUUGUUGCUGUUCUCAGACUCAGCGCCAACCGUUCCUUACGCCACACACCAGAUCUUUCUUUCUUUUCUGCCCUUCGCUUCACGGAGAAGGCUUUAAAGCAAACAAACACAAAACUGUGAGAAACCGAGGGAAGAUAUGGACUGGCCCACUCGUUACUGCUGGAAUGUGGAAACUAUGAAGACAUCUUUUUUUAUUACCAAUGCUGGAAAGCACAGUCACUGAGUGGGCUGGAAUACAAUUUAUACUACAUGCAGUAGUUAAAAAAAACUGCAGAAAUGGGUGUAACCCUGGGCUGUGGUACAACUGGCCUUUCAGCCCCCACUUGAGAUUCCUCCAUCCCAGGGGGCAACUGUGGUUUGGAAGAAGAGCGUGCAUUUAAUUUCACUCAGAGAACUUAUUGGAGUUGGCACUUCAAGAAAGACUCUGAAGUAUAUUUUUUGUCAUGAUUAGUGGCCCCCUCACCACUACGUUUGAUUGUGUUGGAAGCGGAAAAGUUAAAUUCUUAUAAAAUGAUGAUUUACAAUCCUUGAUUAUCCAGGUAGGGUGCGCGGAUUGCGCCAGCUUGGUCAUGGGACUCCAGUCUCAUCCGAGCUCAUUGCUGUGAGAAAAUAAAACUAAAAUGUAAAAAAGCUGAAAACACAUCCUCUGAUUGCUCAGGGAAUUUUCUUAGUCAUACGUUAUCUUUCCUAGUAGUUUAAGUUAUUUUGUCUCCACUAAAACCCAAAGCAAAACAGUGCCCUGACACUUUCCCCUUGAUUUCUGAUCUGCAGCAGCCAAAUUUAUUUUUAUCUCGUGUCGUCUUUUCCCCUAUGGUUAUGCAAAUCCUCAGAAUAGGGGGCAAGGGGAAGAGCUAAUUUUAAAGUCAGUAAAUUCCAGUGGAAGAUUUCUUCAGUCGCUCCGAGCGGGACUAUCCUGGGUGCUGUUGCAGAGCUGUGGCUACCUCCAAAUAACACAGGGGUAUUGAAGAUGAUAUACUGCCAUAAUCUUAGAUUAUGAUGAAGCUGCACUUUCACUUCUGCCAGUAUCACUUGCUGCACUCAUUCAGCUGCAGAGAGACUCUGCUGGAAGGAAAGACCAUGUCCAGGGUCCCUCAUCCCUGUGCCAGGAUGCACAGGAGGGCUUCCAGAUUCCUUUUUAUUUGUGAGUUGUUCAAAUCCAGACUCUUCCAAAUCAAGCUCCUGACACCAUUUAUAUCCGUAUGAGAAGAGUGGAUGUGCCAAAACAAUAAAAAGACGUUUUGUGUAUGCUCCCUUGUCAUCAUGGAAAUCUGGACCGAUUUCAACACAUACUUAUUUCAAAACAUACAAAUAUGGCAAUCAGAUACUGAUGUUCAGAGCAUUUUCCUCCCUGUUUACCCAAAUUUUGUUGAAAAGCCCUUGAGAUAAGAAGGAGUGCUGCAGCCACAGGUGAAAUCUCUUUUCUUUAGCCACCUGUAGAUUACUAUGAUAUAUUCUUGUUUGAAACAGCAGCUGCCCAAAAGGAGGUGCUUGUGUGAAUGUUGCCUUGAGGGGGGAGACAGUGCAAGGGAGGAUGAAAACUUCUCUGACGUUUUUCAGAAUACAGUUAUGCCCUGAGAAUCGCUACUUUACUCCUGUUCCGCAACACAUAAAUACACGUCAGAUGUGUGGUAAACCAAAUUCUCUCAGGAGCUUGUCCUGAAAGAGGAAAAGACAUGAUGAUUUAAAGGCUACAUCUGCAGCUCUUGCAGCUGCUUCGGUUCCUGCUGCUGGAGGAAAAUUCCCUGCAUCAACAGCCUCUCGACACAGGGUCUUGGAGCAGCUCCUGAGGCAAAAGCCCAAGGGAACCAAGCACUGUCACUAGCCUGUUGGACAGGCAAGGAGUGGGAAGUCAUCAUGCAGCUCACAGGAACAUGGUCGCUUCUGCUGUCAGAUGCCCCUUCUGACAUCACCUUUCCUGCUGUGUUGUAAGUGGAAGAGGACUCCAACCCAUGCAACACUAGUUGCAUUCUCCAAAAUCUAUGGAAAGUAAGAUUAGACAGGCAAAUUCCUAAACAAAGUGAAGGUCAUCAUGGUGUGGUACUGGUUUGGCAUACCCUUGUAUUAAAACUCACAGGAGGAGCUGUUGAAGGCUGUGAAGCCUGCUGGAAUGUCUUCAGUUGUAGGAAACACGUGCGACAUUUCUGUAAGAAGGCAGCUGAAGAUGUGAGGAUGUUCUGGAACGAAGGCUUGCACAACCUCUGUGUUUUGACGUUAUUCUGCUCGGUGAUAGACUGGGAACGUAGCAGCUCCAGCUACCGCAGCAGUGCGGUGUGAUUCCUUCCAGCCUACGUGUAAAAACCACCUUCGUAUUGAACAUCCCUCCUCCUUAACAAGCUAGUAACACAUCUAUGAUUUCAGUAAUUAAAAUAAUUUUUUGUUGCUAUUUGCUUAUGUUAACACCCCAGAGCAAGCAGAGAGACAAGUCAGGUAGGCCAGCAGUUACCUGGACUCUGGGAACAGAGGUUAGGUGCCCUGAUUCCUCUGCAGUGAGAAAAAGAGGCAGGACCAGACCCUAAAUGUAUUAAAUGCCUUAGUCCUAAGGAAUUUGAUGGAAAUAGGUGCCUAAAUACUGUGGAGCUCUGUUUUAAUCUCUAUAUACCUUAGUUCUUCAUCUGUCAUAUGAGGAUAAUAAUUAUACAGCGAAGUAUAACAACAAAUGCAAUAAGGAAAACAAAGUGCUCAGAUACUAUAAUCUCUAAAUGUAAAAAAAAAAUAUUAAGAUCUAAGGAACACAAUAUGUUUAUUUCUUUUUUUAUGAAUCUUUUUUACGUAGUGCUAUCCAAUUUUAGAGAGAAGUGUUUACCUGCUUGUUGAUUAAUUUACAGUUGUGUUCCCCAGCUGCAAUCAGAGCAGUUUCUCAUUCAGAGGCUUAUUAAAAGCAAGCAUCAAAGAGAAGGUAAGGAUACAACUCAACUUUUAGAAAGGAGAAGAAAAGUAUUUAUUUCUCAAUGCAAAACUGAGGCUUUUUUACUUCUAAGCUAACUUUCAGCAUCUCAGCUUUCUAUGUGAAGCCUUGCUUCCAGUAUAAAUAAAUGAUCCCACAUUCCGUCAUGAUAACAUAUGCUCAUGCAGAGCUCAAAAUUAGAAGGAAUAUGAAGUGUUCUAUUAAUUGCAUGAAUGUUGAUUGUUAAAAUCAUGUGCUAAUUGGUAAUAUCUGUGUGCAGUAGGUUCCUGCAAUAUGUGUUAGAUUACAUUAACUGUGCUUGUGACUCAGAUAUCAGGCAUUAUGCAUUUUAUAGAAGGAUUAAAAAAAAAAAAAAACACACACACAAAAAAAAAAAAAAAAAAAAACUUUGAGUAAUUAGGUUCUAUAGGCUAUUGGUGUAGAAGAAUUAGUGGAAGAUUGUGUAAAGGGUAUAUGAAGUUAGAGGCAUGAAGAAUACUGAACUCAAAAGAUGCAUCUGCUCCUCUUUCCCAUGGUGUGCUUUCCCUCAAACACUCUCCAAAGUAAUUCUCACCAUGUUUGCCUUCAAGUAAUUCCCAGGGAAUGAAUGAGCUUUCUCAGUUUUCAGGUUUCUCCUUUGCAUUCCCUAGGCUUUGAACCAAGAAAUAUUCAGGUCUUCCACCAAGGGCUGGGAAAUGCAUAAAUCUCUUCCCUGUAGGAGGAAGUAUUUCUCGUAUUGGCACAGAUGUGGCACUUCCCGCUUUCCCUUAUCUUAAGUAGAGGCUAAUGCACUGUAGUUCUUUCUUGGUGCAGUGGUAUCUCCCAUAUGCAUCUGUAGAAAAUCGUUGGAAAGUGUUCUACAAAGACCAAGAGAAAUGCCAAAGGCAAGUGCAGAGAGUGAACGUGACUACGUGGGAAGAAGAGUGAAGAUUCAUGCCCAGAAAACUUCAUUCUUACCUCACACCAGUUUUACUUCGUGUUACUUUGAUGAACAUGCUAGGAUGAGAUCGGCUAGCUGUACAGUGAGAUGAGCAUCCCCUCCAUAACACUCAACACACUCAAAACCAGCAGCUGUAGAUCUGCUGAUACACUCCCAGCAGUGCUGACAAAAAGUUAAUGAUGCAGGACUAGGCUUCCUUUGCUGUUGCUUAGGCUAUUUUAAUUGAUAUUUGAGAUGAACGUUACUCAGAACUGAAUAAAUGGACGCACAUAUUACCACCAUCAAGUGUUUCACGCUCAGCUCACCUUCAGUCUCUUACUGUCUAAUGGAAACAUAAAAUACCUCAUUGCUGUGUUCAUUUUAACUAGUUAGUAAUAUUCAGUGGCUGCAUCGAAAACUGUUUAUAGUAAAGAGUUUCAAUACUUU